This 206-nucleotide ribosomal RNA is filed under the name uncultured bacterium. RNAcentral's name for it is "partial 16S ribosomal RNA". It matches the Rfam family "Bacterial small subunit ribosomal RNA", at positions 1296 to 1500 of the family's 1533-position model. The record is from RNAcentral.
GAUUGUCAGGCUGCAACUCGCCUGCAUGAAGUCGGAAUUGCUAGUAAUCGCAGGUCAGCAUGCUGCGGUGAAUACGUUCCCGGGCCUUGUACACACCGCCCGUCACACCAUGGGAGUCGGUAACACCCGAAGUCGGUAGCCUAACCGUAAGGAGGGCGCCGCCGAAGGUGGGAUUGAUGACUGGGGUGAAGUCGUAACAAGGUACC